GCAACGUUGGUAUGAUCACACGCCGUUUUAACAUAGCACGGGAGCACACGUAAAUAUACAAACAUAAAUAUUCAUAAUCCCUCGUUGGGCGGUCGUUCCGGACGUAUCCCCGAUCUAAUCGACUUAUCGAUACAUCGACCCUGUUUAGCCCUUCCAAAAUAUCGAAUUUCAGUGUAUCGAAGGCAAACUGCGGUCGACACACAGGCACAAUUAUCGCAUUGUUAUUGCAAUCUGUUGCGAGGCGCAGUUAGUCUUCGUUGCCGCUCAAUUGAAUGUUUCGCUGUUCCGUCCCUCCGGCCCUGCGUCCAUCCCCUUUUAUCACCGAUCCACACACGUGCCCCCCCCCCCACUCUCUCCAACCUUCCCUCGGCAGUCGCGAGUUUUGCGUGCUUUCGAUAUGUCUGGGGGUCGUGGAGCGGGGUUUGACUUUCAGACGACAAUGGGUGUAAUUACAAAAGUUUCGGGAUGUUUGGGGGAGGUUGCGAUGAUAUUUGGGGCGUUUGGAUCUAGAUAGAGCCGACACUUGGAUAAAAAGAUGGUUGGGAGCUGGUACUGCGGUUGGGUGUUAGGCGUUUGGGCCGUAAUCUUAAAGCGUUGUUCUCAAACUUUGCUUGGUUUAAGACUCGAACUGCUUAUAUACUGAAUAAGCAGUAGCGUUUCCUGCGUGAAUGGAUGGGAGCACUGCCUCUCCAAGGAAACGUGGGCGAGAAUAAUUAUUUUUAGUUUUCAAAGUGCAUCAUGCGUGACUUUGGACGCGCAAAAUGAGUGGGAGGUAUAAACAUACCAGUGCAAGUCGUUAUUUAGAGUGGAAUGUGAGUGUUGCAUACACAAAACAUGAAGGCGCACCGGUUUUCCAUAAGUUUGCAGCAUGCCUACCCUGCAAGAUUUGGGGUUUAUUGUCGCUUGGUAUACCUAUAUGUUAUGCUAUGCCAUAUUUAUUUGGUGUCUGGUUACCCUGCCACACGAAGAUUUGCAAAUAGAGUAUCAGACCGAUAUUAUAGCUCAUUAUGAGAAGGGAAGGGAUGGGAUCGAAAAAUAAAAAAUGGAGCAUUACGUAUUUUAUACAGUGCUUUAUACUUUCAAUAAAACAUUAUCAAAUUUUCCGAUUUUUUUUUGUAUCUCC
Molecule: long non-coding RNA, 1123 nt
Filed under: Bemisia tabaci
Lineage: Eukaryota; Metazoa; Arthropoda; Insecta; Hemiptera; Aleyrodidae
Description: lncRNA ENSASIAIIG005434
Source: RNAcentral